UACGUAUGGUGCAAGCGUUAUCCGGAUUUACUGGGCGUAAAGGGAGCGCAGGCGGCGCGCCAAGUCUGAUGUGAAACCCCGGGGCUCAACCCCGGGCAUGCAUUGGAAACUGGCGGGCUGGAGUGCCGGAGAGGUAAGCGGAAUUCCUAGUGUAGCGGUGAAAUGCGUAGAUAUUAGGAGGAACACCAGUGGCGAAGGCGGCUUACUGGACGGCAACUGACGCUGAGGCUCGAAAGCGUGGAGAGCAAACAGG
RNAcentral lists this ribosomal RNA (253 nucleotides) under uncultured bacterium. Its description in RNAcentral is "partial 16S ribosomal RNA". It matches the Rfam family "Bacterial small subunit ribosomal RNA", at positions 524 to 776 of the family's 1533-position model. The record is from RNAcentral.